AUACGGAGGGUGCAAGCGUUACUCGGAAUCACUGGGCGUAAAGCGCGCGCGGGCGGCUAUUUAAGUUGGAUGUGAAAGCCUACGGCUCAACCGUAGAACUGCAUCCAAAACUAUUUAGCUAGAGUGUGGGAGAGGAAGAUGGAAUUAGUUGUGUAGGGGUAAAAUCCGUAGAGAUAACUAGGAAUACCAAAAGCGAAGGCAAUCUUCUGGAACACUACUGACGCUGAGGCGCGAAAGCGUGGGGAGCAAACAGGAUUAGAAACCCCAGUAGUCC
This 274-nucleotide ribosomal RNA is filed under the name uncultured bacterium. Its description in RNAcentral is "partial 16S ribosomal RNA". It matches the Rfam family "Bacterial small subunit ribosomal RNA", at positions 523 to 796 of the family's 1533-position model. The record is from RNAcentral.